This 607-nucleotide long non-coding RNA is filed under the name Populus tremula. RNAcentral's name for it is "long non-coding RNA (PTRE_LNC002346)". Lineage: Eukaryota; Viridiplantae; Streptophyta; Magnoliopsida; Malpighiales; Salicaceae. The record is from RNAcentral.
AGACGUAUGAGCAAAAAAAGAAAAGAAAAGAAUUAGCUAGAGUUGAAACAGCUCACACACACAAAAAACACCAUCUCCCAACAAAAAAGACCAACCUGUGACCUUCACCCAUUCCAUCUUCCAUACACCCAUCAUCUUCAACCUUCCCUAAACCCAUCCCAUUCUUCCUGAACAGCACACCACACAGGGAGGAUAAAUAAAUAAACACAAAAGUCGGUGUCCUUAUCUCCUCCAACCAACAACCGGUCAUAGCAGCUCCGUUAGCCAAGUUCCCCCAGCAACAGUCUCUCCUCAGCACCUGACAUCACUUUGCCUUCGCCGUGCACAACUAUCAACUACAUCAGCAUAGCCACUCGGGAGCCAUUCUGCACGCACCGGUGACCUCUCCUCUAGAUCCAGCGCAGCUGGUACUUCUAGCUCUAACAACAUCUCUUCAGCAAUCGUCAACAACAUCUCCUUUACAUCAACAUCACUGGUUCCACCGUGACCUUCUUCAUCAGUAGCUCUCUCCUCAGCAAUGCAACAACAAUGAUAAUCAUAAUAUUUAUCUAGUAUUUUAAUCAUGUUUUAUAUAUAAAAUGUUUUGAUAAUCUUUAUUUUAUUUUUU